CCUACGGGAGGCAGCAGUGGGGAAUAUUGCACAAUGGGCGCAAGCCUGAUGCAGCGACGCCGCGUGGGGGAUGACGGCCUUCGGGUUGUAAACUCCUUUCGCCAAGGACGAAGCGUUAUGUGACGGUACUUGGAGAAGAAGCACCGGCUAACUACGUGCCAGCAGCCGCGGUAAUACGUAGGGUGCGAGCGUUGUCCGGAAUUACUGGGCGUAAAGAGCUCGUAGGUGGUUUGUCGCGUCGUUUGUGGAAUACCGCAGCUUAACUGUGGGGUUGCAGGCGAUACGGGCAUAACUUGAGUGCUGUAGGGGAGACUGGAAUUCCUGGUGUAGCGGUGGAAUGCGCAGAUAUCAGGAGGAACACCGAUGGCGAAGGCAGGUCUCUGGGCAGUAACUGACGCUGAGGAGCGAAAGCAUGGGUAGCGAACAGGAUUAGAUACCCU
RNAcentral lists this ribosomal RNA (440 nucleotides) under uncultured bacterium. RNAcentral describes it as "bacterial SSU rRNA". It matches the Rfam family "Bacterial small subunit ribosomal RNA", at positions 338 to 788 of the family's 1533-position model. The record is from RNAcentral.